RNAcentral lists this ribosomal RNA (274 nucleotides) under uncultured bacterium. Its description in RNAcentral is "partial 16S ribosomal RNA". It matches the Rfam family "Archaeal small subunit ribosomal RNA", at positions 473 to 747 of the family's 1478-position model. The record is from RNAcentral.
AAACCAGCACCUCAAGUGGUCAGGAGGAUUAUUGGGCCUAAAGCAUCCGUAGCCUGUUCUGUAAGUUUUCGGUUAAAUCCAUUAGCUCAACUAAUGGGCUGCCGAAAAUACUGUAGAACUAGGGAGUGGGAGAGGUAGACGGUAUUCGGUAGGAAGGGGUAAAAUCCUUUGAUCUAUUGAGGACCACCUGUGGCGAAGGCGGUCUACCAGAACACGUUCGACGGUGAGGGAUGAAAGCUGGCGGAGCAAACCGGAUUAGAAACCCGAGUAGUCC